GUCCAUCAAGUUAAGCCUACCUCACAUUUGUUUUUUGCUGUUGAUCCAAAAGAAGGCAAAAAACCCAGUUUGAAGCACAAUUUUGCAACAAGCUAGGAAAAAAAAUCCUUCUUGACCCCAGAAUGGCAGUCAGAUUUAUCCUUGGAUCAAGCAGUUAUUACCCUACAUUGAAAGAUUAUAUCCUUGAAUAUUCUGUUCUUGCAAGUAUGCAUCUAGCAGCCGUUUGAACAUCUGUAUGGACU
This is a non-coding RNA of Pelobates cultripes (western spadefoot toad), 242 nucleotides long. The record is from the annotation of a GenBank genome assembly. Lineage: Eukaryota; Metazoa; Chordata; Amphibia; Anura; Pelobatidae.